Dreissena polymorpha is the source of this 3646-nucleotide long non-coding RNA. RefSeq lists it as uncharacterized. NCBI's taxonomy places the organism in Eukaryota, Metazoa, Mollusca, Bivalvia, Myida, Dreissenidae. The transcript is spliced from 2 exons. The record is from RefSeq and is a predicted model, not a curated record.
UUAUAAGCUUAUAUUUGGCACGAUAACGGCCGAUCAUAUAUUUAUUAAAACUCGUUAAAACUAAAAUGAGGUGUACUAGCAUUUUUACGUCAAAUUUACUUAAAAUAGUUAUUUGCUUUUGUGAUGAUGGCAUACAUCACAGUGUAGAAUAUGAAAAAAACAUUAUAUGCUAGUGACUAGACGAGUUUGGAUGUUAACUGGCUGAAGAAACAGUAUUUUGAUUAUUUCUCAGAGAGUAGAAUGGCUCGGGCAUGUGAUCGAUAUGCAUAAAAUGCAGUUUUUCAUAAUUAAAAAUUGAGUAGCCAGGCUAGAAAAAAAGUAUUGAUUCUAUGAUCUAUCUAAUUUAUCAAACGAAAGAAAAAGUAGUACCAAAAGAUAAAUUAAUAGCUAGUUGUGUAGGGCAGAUAAUUUCCUUUCAGAGUGUGAUUGUAAAUAAAGAUUGGUGAUAACAAUGCAUAUAUAAAAUUGCAUAAAUACCAGAGCUAGUUGGAAAGCUCCCGUUUAUUGUAACGUUGCAAGCUAUUUACAAACUUAGAUUAUGGAAAGAAAGCACUAGGCAGUUAAUCAACAGUGGAAAAGAUUUCAAACACAAUCAGUUGUUUUUGUGUAAUAUAGUUGCUGAUGCAAGUACCACAAGUUAUGGUUUAUGGAGGUUUUAUAGAAAGUUGUAGCUUUAAUGUAGAUAUAGGCGAAAUGACUGUCAAGCUUACGAUUUUCAUAAAAAUAAAAAAAAAGCAAAUUUAUUUUCAAUUUGUUUUAUUCCAUUGACGAAGAGAGUAAAGGUAUGUACUCGUGAUCUUUGAGACCCGAAAAUGAGAAAAUUGGAAUGUACAUGAUCUUAAUAAAAAGAGCAACCUGUUCCCGGAAGUGAACAGAUUAUUGACGAAAAGAGAAAAGUUAUCCCUGGAAGUGAUUACUAUAUUACACUGUUAAAAUCAAGGAGGUACACUGCCAGUGUUUCUAUAAACAAAACAGGUAAUGCAUAUUGUGAUUUAAUAUGAAGUCAAUACAUUAAGCCACCGGAAGUUGGUUUUCAAGAUAAACCCGAUAAGUAUUCCGUCGUUCAACAUAACGAAAUGUUUUGAGAGGUACUCUGAAGGAGCGAUUAGAGGGCUCGGGCUUGCAUGGGCUUCGAAGAGAUUAGAUGGGGGACAGAAUGGCUAAGUAAAUACUUAGAACAAUCAAGAGCAGACAAUACGGUGAAGAAAAGAAUUCUUCAUGUGCACAUUUCAAAUACUGUGAAGAAAAUGUAGUCGCCAUGCCAGCCUUACAUAUAUCAGUAGUAAUGUACAUGGCUCAAUUGAUGGAUCGAGGAAAUCGUAUAACGUUUUUUACAUCUGUGUUUUACAGUAUUAAAUGGAUCCAUUCUAUUAAUAGUGUACAUGAUCCAAAGAAAGAUUUAACAAACUAUUAUAAGAAGCUUCAAAGCGUGUGUGCUUCAAACCAUUUCACAAGAAAGAUGUAUCAUGUACAUGUGCAUUCAUUAGAGAUGAUACAAACAUUGUGUUUGAUAUAAGGAGAUUCCACUGUUUUCAUUGAUUGAUCAUUUUUGGGUUAUGCAUGUACAUGUAUCAUGCAUAUUAACAAAUUAAGUGAGUUUCAUUGUAAUGACCUACAAUUGAAAUCUGAUCACUUUGGUAUUAAUGUACGCCAUUAUAAUACUGGCAUGUAUACGAAUGGUUCGGAUAUUAUAAUUGCAAAAUGUACAACUACAACUUCCCAUGUGGCGUUUUAUUAACAAAUAUGUAAUUAGCAAAUUGGUCAGAUGAAUCAAAUGAUUUUUUGUUCAAACCUUUGUUCUAUCGUAAGCCGUGCCCAAUGCAAAACGUGUUGUGUUUUGUGCUUAGUUGUGUGAAGACAGGGCAUGGUGUUGUGGGUGAGAUGGUGGGUAUUCAGCCCUGAAAGUGCCUCCCCCAGUAAAGGGAUGAUUUAUUGUGAGUAGAUGACAUUUUGGAGAUUGAUUGAAUAAUUUAGUUGAGGAUAGAAAGAAAUGUUACUAUUGUCUACUGAAGAGGUGUUAAGCCCUAUAUAAAGCAAGUCAAUCAGUUUAAAUAUAAGCUGAGUGUUAAAUAUCCCAGUAUCAUCAAAGUAAAGCAUUGAAAAAUAGCACCGCACCGGUAAACAACCCAAUAUAGUGUGUAUAUAUAAAUAAGAAGAAUUAAGUCAUUUGGUAAUUUUGACUGUUAGAUUGAGAAAUAGACAAAGAAAAAUUUCCGAAUACCAAAUGACGUCCGAAAUACUAAAAGUUUUAGAAAAAUACGAAAAAAGAAAAAAAGGCAACAAUGGACGGGCAAGGGACAAUGUAGCAGUGGUAGUUGAGAACUGGUUGAAUGGCUGAUAGCGUUUUCGUCUUAUUUCUUUAUUUCUCCAUACAGAAACUUAAAAACUUUGUUUACAAUAUAAUCUCGUGCUUUAAUGGCGACCGAAAAAAUGAAAGAUGUGACUUCUGCAGUGUUUAGAAUGUUUUUCUUCUUUUCUUGACCUAGCGACCUAGUUUUUCGACCCAGCAUGACUCAGUUUCGAAUUUGACCAAGGUAUCAUUGGGACAAAAUUCUGACAAAGUUUCAUGAAGAUCAGACAAGAAAUGUGGCCUCUAUAGUGUUUACGAACAAAUGUGGACAGAGGGACAACAGACAAAGACCUAUCACAAAAGCUCACCUGAGCAAUCUGGAUAUCUCAAAAGUUCACACUAUUUUUGUUUUCAAUUAUUUAGGGAUGGCAAACCUAAGCAAAUCCGUAACUGGUUAACCUGCUUAGAUAUUUGAGCGGUUAACUGACUGUCGUUGUGCAACAAAAAUGAAAAAACAAGGGCUGUUUGUAAAACAUGCAUGCCCCCCAUACGGGCUUUCCGUUGUAGUGGCAGCCAUUGUGUGAAUACGAUUUUUGUCACUGUGACCUUGACCUUUGACCUAGUGACCUGAAAAUCAAUAGGGGUCAUCUGCAGGUCACGAUUAAUGUACCUAUGAAGUAGGCAAAAGCUUUCUUGAGUUAUCAUCCGAAAAUCAUUUUACUAUUUCGGGUCACCGUGACCUUGACCUUUGACCUUGUGACCUCAAAAUCAAUAGGGGUCAUCUGCAAGUCAUGAUCAAUCUACCUAUGAAGUUUCAUGAUCCUAGGCGUAAACGUUCUUGAGUUAUCAUCCGAAAACCAUUUUACUAUUUCGGGUCACCGUGACCUUGACCUUUGACCUAGUGACCUCAAAAUCAAUAGGGGUCAUCUGCAAGUCAUGAUCAAUCUACCCAUGAAGUUUCAUGAUCCUAGGCGUAUGCGUUCUUGAGUUAUCAUCCGGAAACCAUAUUACUAUUUCGGGUCACCGUGACCUUGACCUUUGACCUAGUGACCUCAAAAUCAAUAGGGGUCAUCUGCAAGUCCUGAUCAAUCUACCCAUGAAGUUUCAUGAUCCUAGGCGUAUGCGUUCUUGAGUUAUCAUUUAAAAACCAUUUUACUAUUUCUGGUCACCGUGACCUUGACCUUUGACCUAGUGACCUCAAAAUCAAUAGAGGUCAUCUGCGAGUCAUGAUCAAUGUACCUAUGAAGUUUCAUGAUCCUAGGCCCAAGGGUUCUCGAGUUAUCGUCUGACAACCACCUGGUGGACGGACAGACCGACAGACCGACCGACCGACCGACAUGAGCAAAGCAAUAUACC